GCGGGGCCCAACCGUUACCUUGGCAACCAAGGCCCAGCGUCCAAUUCGGCCUCAUAGCCGCCGCCGUCCCGUUCCCCCUCCCCCGAAAAAAAAAACACUGAACAGCAAAAUUGUCCUUUGUUUGCUCAGCAGAAUUUAACAUGAUUUAAAAAAAAUAAACCGACGUGGAAUAAAAAAGAAUUAAAUGUUUAAGAAUUGGGCAGGGUCAAAGAUUAUAAGAUGGCGGCGCCGACGGUUUGAGGUUAUGAAACUGCACUGAGCAGAUCUGUGGGAUGACCGAAGCUGAGCUCCUUUACUUUGUAAACUGUCUGGGUGUGCUAGUCUUUCUGCUUGCUGUUCUCUACCACUGGGUCGAUAUUGUACACACUGGGUCCCCAGUCUUCAAACAAAAUUUCUAUGACGCUAGGCCAACGAGAAGUUUUCACAACCAGUGCCGAAGGCGGGUAUACACACGUAGCAUCUCGAUGAGUGACUCAGAUUUCCCAGGAGACAUCCAACGUCGAAACAUCCAUGUUACACUCAAAUCCUGACGUGUUCAGAACAUGUCAGUAAAAAAACAGACACGCAGAACAACUAACAAGGGGGCAGUUUGUAUAGUAAGGACCGACAGGAGCCUGCCUUUUCACUGACGAACACGAAUGUGAAGUGUUACAGGCUUAUCCUUUCAGCUCCAGUCUAGAACCUGAGCAUGUAAUCCAGAGUGCUACUUCAGUGCAGUACUGAGGGAUUGCUCCCCCAUCGUCUUUAAGGAGAAACGGCCUCAACUGUCUGUCCCAGUAACUCGUGUUCCUUCCUUGGCCAACUUAAAAAUAUUUUAAAACAAAAACAGAAUUACCUGGAAAAACUCAGCAGGUCCGGCAGCAUCGGCGGAGAAGAAAAGAGCCGACGUUUCGAGUCCUCACUGGUUGCUGUUCAUGGGAUUCUGCUUUGUGCAGAAAUGGUUGUUUGUUUAAAUCGCUAAUGGUGACUACAUUUCAAAUUUUGCACAGAGCACUUUGAAAUAUUUCUGACGGGUGUGAUAGGUAUAUCAUGCAAGCUCUUCUUCUCAUCAAACCUGAUUGAGAGUGCACUGAGUAGCUUUGUCCUCUGAAUUUCAUCAGUAUGCUAUUUUGCUGCAAACAAACAGAGAGCCAAGUGCAGCAUAGCACAAAGGAAAUGUAAACUGUGGGAACAGAGGAUAAUACUGUGCGGUUUGGUGCCUCAGAAAUACUGACUGAUCGUUCGCCUUUUUCUGGUGUUGUUGCAACAACUGCUCUCUUCAUCCUGCGCCCAGAGACUUGGAUCUUUCCCAUGUCCGGCACGAUCUGAAAGUCGGGAAGGCAACAAUCUGCUUUUUCCAUAUUCCGAAUCUUGCGGUUUCCCAAUCAGAUAGUCUUCAAUUAAAUCUCACUACGCCCCUGGCAAAUUGGAAAAGGGAUUCACUGCGGCAGAUACAUCACCUCUCAUGGGCUAGCACUGAAUUGCAACACUGACCUCCGCUGGUUCUCUCACAUCACUCCCUGCGGCAUUGAGGGAAAAGGGGUCACGUCCCUGAGCCGA
This is an RNA transcript of Carcharodon carcharias (great white shark), 1539 nucleotides long. It is a transcript of the gene named lipoyl(octanoyl) transferase 2, with no coding region annotated. The record is from RefSeq and is a predicted model, not a curated record. The transcript has 3 exons. NCBI's taxonomy places the organism in Eukaryota, Metazoa, Chordata, Chondrichthyes, Lamniformes, Lamnidae.